AGCAGCCGCGGUAAUUCCAGCUCCAAUAGCGUAUAUUAAAGUUGCUGCAGUUAAAAAGCUCGUAGUUGAAUUUCGGGACCGAUAUAUCGGUCGUGCCUCGGUACGUACUGGUAUUUUCGGUUUCUCCCUUCUGACGAACCUUGAUGUCAUUAAUUUGGUGUCUUGGGGAAUCAGGACUGUUACUUUGAAAAAAUUAGAGUGUUUAAAGCAGGCUCACGCUUGAAUACAUUAGCAUGGAAUAAUGAAAUAGGACGUUUGAUUCUAUUUUGUUGGUUUCUAGGAUCGACGUAAUGAUUAAUAGGGAUAGUUGGGGCAUUAGUAUUCAAUUGUCAGAGGUGAAAUUCUUGGAUUUAUUGAAGACUAACUACUGCGAAAGCAUUUGCCAAGGAUGUUUUCAUUAAUCAAAGAACGAAAGUUAGGGAUCGAAGACGAUCAGAUACCGUCGUAGUCUUAACCAUAAACUA
RNAcentral lists this ribosomal RNA (464 nucleotides) under uncultured Glomus. Its description in RNAcentral is "SSU rRNA". It matches the Rfam family "Eukaryotic small subunit ribosomal RNA", at positions 569 to 1039 of the family's 1831-position model. The record is from RNAcentral. Lineage: Eukaryota; Fungi; Glomeromycota; Glomeromycetes; Glomerales; Glomeraceae.